Gallus gallus (chicken) is the source of this 110-nucleotide microRNA precursor. The record is from Ensembl. Lineage: Eukaryota; Metazoa; Chordata; Aves; Galliformes; Phasianidae.
GGCCAUGCUGGGAUUCUGGGGAAGGCAAGGCAAGUGGGAGCCAUGGCUCUGCAGCUGAACAGACAUGUUGCAGUGAGACGGGCUCCCACAUCCUCCCCUUCUAGAAAUGU